GACGAACGCUGGCGGCGUGCUUAACACAUGCAAGUCGAACGGAAAGGCCCUGCUUUUGUGGGGUGCUCGAGUGGCGAACGGGUGAGUAACACGUGAGUAACCUGCCCUUGACUUUGGGAUAACUUCAGGAAACUGGGGCUAAUACCGGAUAGGAGCUCCUGCUGCAUGGUGGGGGUUGGAAAGUUUCGGCGGUUGGGGAUGGACUCGCGGCUUAUCAGCUUGUUGGUGGGGUAGUGGCUUACCAAGGCUUUGACGGGUAGCCGGCCUGAGAGGGUGACCGGCCACAUUGGGACUGAGAUACGGCCCAGACUCCUACGGGAGGCAGCAGUGGGGAAUAUUGCACAAUGGGCGCAAGCCUGAUACAGCAACGCCGCGUGCGGGAUGACGGCCUUCGGGUUGUAAACCGCCUUCGCCUGUGACGAAGCGUGAGUGACGGUAAUGGGUAAAGAAGCACCGGCUAACUACGUG
This 468-nucleotide ribosomal RNA is filed under the name uncultured bacterium. Its description in RNAcentral is "partial 16S ribosomal RNA". It matches the Rfam family "Bacterial small subunit ribosomal RNA", at positions 28 to 507 of the family's 1533-position model. The record is from RNAcentral.